UGCCAGCAGCCGCGGUAAUACGUAUGGGGCGAUCGUUGUUCGGAAUCAUUGGGCGUAAAGGGCGCGCAGGCGGCCUUGCAAGCUUGGUGUCAAAGGCUCUGGCUCAACCAGAGUUGUGCGCUGAGAACUGCAAGGCUCGAGUUAUCGAGGGGAAGCUGGAAUUCCUGGUGUAGGGGUGAAAUCUGUAGAUAUCAGGAAGAACACCGGUGGCGAAGGCGAGCUUCUGGCGAAUAACUGACGCUGAGGCGCGAAAGCGUGGGGAGCGAACAGGAUUAGAUA
This 279-nucleotide ribosomal RNA is filed under the name uncultured bacterium. RNAcentral's name for it is "partial 16S ribosomal RNA". It matches the Rfam family "Bacterial small subunit ribosomal RNA", at positions 506 to 784 of the family's 1533-position model. The record is from RNAcentral.